GACGAACGCUGGCGGCGUGCUUAACACAUGCAAGUCGAACGGAAAGGCCCUGCUUUUGUUGGGUGCUCGAGUGGCGAACGGGUGAGUAACACGUGAGUAACCUGCCCUUGACUUUGGGAUAACAUCAGGAAACUGGGGCUAAUACCGGAUAGGAGCUCUUGCUGCAUGGUGUGGGUUGGAGAGUGUCGGCGGUUGGGGAUGGACUCGCGGCUUAUCAGCUUGUUGGUGGGGUAGUGGCUUACCAAGGCUGUGACGGGUAGCCGGCCUGAGAGGGUGACCGGCCACAUUGGGACUGAGAUACGGCCCAGAAUCCUACGGGAGGCAGCAGUGGGGAAUAUUGCACAAUGGGCGGAAGCCUGAUGCAGCAACGCCGCGUGCGGGAUGCCGGCCUUCGGGUUAUAAACCGCUUUCGCCUGUGACGAAGCGUGAGUGACGGUAAUGGGUCAAGAAGCACCGGCUAACUACGUG
RNAcentral lists this ribosomal RNA (468 nucleotides) under uncultured bacterium. RNAcentral's name for it is "partial 16S ribosomal RNA". It matches the Rfam family "Bacterial small subunit ribosomal RNA", at positions 28 to 507 of the family's 1533-position model. The record is from RNAcentral.